This is a long non-coding RNA of Mustela lutreola (European mink), 286 nucleotides long. RefSeq lists it as uncharacterized. The transcript has 3 exons. Lineage: Eukaryota; Metazoa; Chordata; Mammalia; Carnivora; Mustelidae. The record is from RefSeq and is a predicted model, not a curated record.
CUGUAAAGUGUGAACAAUGAUGACAUCUACUCUUUAGAGUUAAAAGAAGAAAUAUGCUUAAGGAAUUUAGGAUAGCACCUGGAGCAUUAGCCUUAUCAAGAAGAGAAGUCUAAGGGAGAACAGAUUGGUGGUUGCCAGAAGCAGAGGGUGAAGGGUGUCUAAAGAGAUUGUCUAGCUCAGGUUCAAAGAUGAAUCUAUGUUAUUAAAAUGGAAGAAAAUGGCGCUCUUUCUUUCUAAAGGAUGAUAUCCCUUCUCCAAGAAGACUCUUGGGAAAAUCCAAGGUAAA